This 253-nucleotide ribosomal RNA is filed under the name uncultured bacterium. Its description in RNAcentral is "partial 16S ribosomal RNA". It matches the Rfam family "Bacterial small subunit ribosomal RNA", at positions 524 to 776 of the family's 1533-position model. The record is from RNAcentral.
UACAGAGGUCCCAAGCGUUGUUCGGAUUCACUGGGCGUAAAGGGUGCGUAGGCGGCGGGGCAAGUCUGAUGUGAAAUCCCGGGGCUCAACCCUGGAACUGCACUGGAUACUGCUCUGCUAGAGAUCUGGAGAGGAAACUGGAAUUUACGGUGUAGCAGUGAAAUGCGUAGAUAUCGUAAGGAAGGCCAGUGGCGAAGGCGAGUUUCUGGACAGAUUCUGACGCUGAGGCACGAAGGCCAGGGGAGCAAACGGG